GAUGAACGCUGGCGGCGUGCCUAAUACAUGCAAGUCGAGCGAACGGACGAGAAGCUUGCUUCUCUGAUGUUAGCGGCGGACGGGUGAGUAACACGUGGAUAACCUACCUAUAAGACUGAGAUAACUUCGGGAAACCGGAGCUAAUACCGGAUAAUAUUUUGAACCGCAUGGUUCAAAAGUGAAAGACGGUCUUGCUGUCACUUAUAGAUGGAUCCGCGCUGCAUUAGCUAGUUGGUAAGGUAACGGCUUACCAAGGCAACGAUGCAUAGCCGACCUGAGAGGGUGAUCGGCCACACUGGAACUGAGACACGGUCCAGACUCCUACGGGAGGCAGCAGUAGGGAAUCUUCCGCAAUGGGCGAAAGCCUGACGGAGCAACGCCGCGUGAGUGAUGAAGGUCUUCGGAUCGUAAAACUCUGUUAUUAGGGAAGAACAUAUGUGUAAGUAACUGUGCACAUCUUGACGGUACCUAAUCAGAAAGCCACGGCUAACUACGU
RNAcentral lists this ribosomal RNA (496 nucleotides) under uncultured bacterium. RNAcentral describes it as "partial 16S ribosomal RNA". It matches the Rfam family "Bacterial small subunit ribosomal RNA", at positions 28 to 506 of the family's 1533-position model. The record is from RNAcentral.